This 127-nucleotide small nucleolar RNA is filed under the name Hucho hucho (huchen). RNAcentral describes it as "Small nucleolar RNA U109 (ENSHHUG00000016870.1)". Lineage: Eukaryota; Metazoa; Chordata; Actinopteri; Salmoniformes; Salmonidae. The record is from RNAcentral.
GUGCAACUACCUACUCUGCUGUGAGGAGUGUAGACAAUUCAGAUGUGCAACAGCAAACCAGCAGAGUUAACAGGGCCACCAGUCUCUCAAGAACAGGCUGAGUCGGUAGUAUAAUACUCUGACACUU